Long non-coding RNA from Macaca fascicularis (crab-eating macaque), 2647 nucleotides. The record is from Ensembl. Lineage: Eukaryota; Metazoa; Chordata; Mammalia; Primates; Cercopithecidae.
AUGCCUGGAGCCCACACACUGUGCCCGUGCCUGGAAGAUGCAGCCUGUGGGCCCAAGAUGGCUCCGCACCCGAAACCCAGCCGCGUCCGCGCCGGGGCCCACCUUUCCCUGGGAGGGAAGGACCCGCUCCGGCCUGUGUCUGCAGUGACUGGAGCUCCCCUGGAUGCUGGCCGGGCUGGCGACGGCCCAUCUGUCACCUGCCCCUGCCCGUCGUGCCACGGAGGCUGGCGAGAGCCUCCCCUGCAGGAAGUGGCCUCCCCACCAACCCCGCGCCUCGGCCUCCCGCUGCCCGCCCUCACCUGCCCCCCCACUCUUACCUGCCCCGACAGGUUCCACCGCUGCUCCCGCCCCAACUCUGCAGCCAGCGCCUCCCGUGUGCCAGGCCCGGGUGGGUGUGAACCGGCUUCGGAAGGAAUGGGGGGGACCCAAGCCCCUGUCCGUCCGGGUCCACAGAGCUGGGCACUUGGCCUCAGCCAGGGUCAGGCCUCAGGGCGUCUGUCGGCACGGGGCGUCCAUUGGCGCGGGGAGACCUGCCCGCUGCCCUGCAAAGGCCCCAGGAGCAGUUCUUCCUGGACCCCCUCUUGGUUUGCAGGAGCCUGGGGGCAGCUCUGACUGAGACAGGGAGAGAGAGAACACAGGUGAGGUCCCGCCAGGGAACACCUCGCAGAGCCGUGCGUCCCUGUACCGUCUCCCUCCCUCGGACACAGGCCAAGGCCCCACGGAGGACAGACAGUGGCCCCCGCGUGCCCUCUGACCUGAUCAGGCCCAGUGCGAGCAGGAAGCAAACUCCACUGACCUCCACUGAGCGGAGAGCCUGGCGCCUCCUUCCUUCCCCUCCCUCCUCCCUGCUCAUCUCCCCUGUCUCCGUGCUCUGAUCAGGACUCUGCCUUCUCCAUCAGUUCCAAAGCUCCACGCGCAGACGAAACACCUGGCGCAACGUCUGCUCUCUGACCUCAAUGGUAAAACACCAUCCAGGCACGGUGGCUCACGCCUGUAAUCCCAGCACUUUGGGAGGCUGAGGCGGGCGGAUCACUUGAGCCCAGGAGUUUGAGACCAGCCUGGGCAACAUGGUGAGAUCCCAUCUCUGCAAAAAAUUUAAAACUUAACCGGCUGUGGUGGUGCACACUUGUGGGCCUGGGAAGUGGAGGCUGCAGUGAACCUUGAUCGCACCACCGCACUCCAGCCUGGGCCAGAGUCAGACCCUGUCUCAAAAAAGAAAACACAAAGAUAAAAGGCCCCAGAGUUUUCUGCAGAUUAAUAAACUGUCUCUACCUGGAACGUGAAACAGUGAACGAGUGACUCACCGGCCCUGGGAGGAGGAAGGCCCCAGCCCCGUCCACAGCUCCUCCCACUUGGGCAGCUGUGUCCUGGCCCAGGUGCAGCCGAGCUGUGCCCUGCACAGCACAGGGCCCUCCACCCUCGCUGCUGUGGACGUGGAGAGCAGCGGGGCGCUGGGCGUGCCCCCGUAGCCCCGUAAUAAAAUCCACUGUGGCCGCUCCCCUGGCUUUGAGGAGGAAUAUUUGCGUCUGGCUGAACACCUGCUUCCUGGUCUCAUGGUGACACUCAGGCCCCACACCAUCCUGCCUAAUUCCCUAGUAGAGGGAAAAUGACCGGUGUCUGGCUGUGGAACUGGAGCUGCCGCUGCUUCUCGUGUGGAGCCGCUCGGAGAAGCGGGAGCUUGGCAGCAUGGGCCAGACUUGCUCACACUUCCUCACCUGCUUUUUCUUUCAGACAGAGUCUGGCUCUGUCGCCCAGGCUGGAGUGCAGUGGUGCAAUCUUGGCUCACUGCAGCCACCACCUCCCAGGUUCAAGCAAUUCUCCUGCCUCAGCCAUCCGAGUAGCUGGGACUACAGGUGUGCACCACCAUGCCCGGCUAAUUUUUCUAUUUUUAGUAGAGACAGGAGUUUUACCGUGUUGGCCAGGCUAGUAUCGAACUCCUGACCUCAGGUGAUCCGCCUGCCUCGGCCUCCAAAAGUAGAGACAUGGGUUUUACUGUGCUGGCCAGGUUAGUCUUGAACUCCCGACGUCAGGUGAUCCGCCUGCCUUGGCCUCCAAAAGUGCUAGGAUUACAGGCAUGAACCACCACGCCUGGCCCCUCACCUGCUUCUGAACCAAUCACUGGUUCACACUGCUCUGCUCAUCCUGGAUGAACCUGGGUAUGGCUGCUGGACGACCCCGAGCCAGCCAGUCCCCACCUAGGCCCCAGGACCCUCAGGUGCCUCUGAGCCCGUGGAUGGCCGGUUCUGAGGCCCUGAGCUGGGGGGGACAGCUAACGGAGUGGCUGAGGGCUGAUGCCCGCUCUGGGGUGCAGCAGGGCCCCUGCACCGCCUGGGUGCAAGGCUCAGGGAGGGGAGGCCUGUGACGCUCGCUGGCACAGGUCUCUCUGGGGACAAGGGCAGGGGCAGGGCUCAAGUCUCGGGAGGCCCAGGCCGGCAUCCCUCACCCACCAAGGAAGUGAGUGGCCCUGGGGCACGGCGGGUGGCGCCUGAGGCCUCUCUGCUCCUCCAUGGAGAGGGCCCGGCGGCUCUGCCAGCUGGCGUGAGCUGGUCAGUGUGGGGCCACUCCACAGCUGACCCCUCACAGUGGCUGCACUUGGGGUCGGAAUCACCAGGAACCGGUGGCUGCCAAAGGUUCCGGCCUGGCCCAC